UGAAUACGAGAUGCUACGGCGUCGAAGCAGUCUAUGUCAUACUUCCAAGAAAAGCUUGCACUGUCAUAAACAAAUAAUGCCUGUACCAUAACCGACACAGGUGGGUAGGUAGAGUAUACUAAGGGGCGCGAGAUAACUCUCUCUAAGGAACUCGGCAAAAUGACUCCGUAACUUCGGGAGAAGGAGUGCCUUAUUUAUAAGGUUGCAAUAACAAGACCCAAGCAACUGUCUAUCAAAAACACAGGUCUCCGCUAAGUCGUAAGACGAUGUAUGGGGGCUGACGCCUGCCCAGUGCCAGAAGGUUAAAGAAGUUGGUUAGCAUUAGCGAAGCUGAUGACUGAAGCCCUGGUGAACGGCGGCCGUAACAAUAACGGUCCUAAGGUAGCGAAAUUCCUUGUCGGGUAAGUUCCGACCCGCACGAAAGGCGUAAUGAUUUGGGUACUGUCUCAGAGAGGGACUCGGUGAAAUAGACUUGUCUGUGAAGAUGCGGACUACCUGCACCUGGACAGAAAGACCCUAUGAAGCUUUACUGUAACCUGAAAUUGAAAUUGGACUUUAUUUGCGCAGUAUAGGUGGGAGGCUUUGAAGAUAUUCUUGCGGGAAUGUUGGAGCCAUCAGUGAGAUACCACUCUUGUAAUGUUAGAUUUCUAACUUUGUAUCAUUAUCUGGUCAAAGAACAGUUUCAGGCGGGCAGUUUGACUGGGGCGGUCGCCUCCUAAACGGUAACGGAGGCGCACAAAGGUUUCCUCUGAACGGGUAGAAAUCGUAUCUAGAGUGUAAAGGCAUAAGGAAGCUUGACUGUGAGACCUACAAGUCGAGCAGGGACGAAAGUCGGUCUUAGUGAUCUGACGGUGCUGAGUGGAAAGGCCGUCACUCAACGGAUAAAAGUUACUCUAAGGAUAACAGGCUGAUCUCCCCCAAGAGUUCACAUCGACGGGGAGGUUUGGCACCUCGAUGUCGGCUCAUCGCAUCCUGGGGCGGUAGUACGUCCCAAGGGUUGGGCUGUUCGCCCAUGAAAGCGGUACGCGAGCUGGGUUCAGAACGUCGUGAGACAGUUCGGUCCAUAUCCGGUGUAGGCGUUAGAAUAUUGAGAGGAGCCUUCUCUAGUACGAGAGGACCGAGAAGGACACACCUCUGGUGUACCAGUUAUCGUGCCAACGGUAAACGCUGGGUAGCUAUGUGUGGAGCGGAUAACCGCUGAAAGCAUCUAAGUGGGAAGCCCACCUCAAGAUAAGUA
This 1237-nucleotide ribosomal RNA is filed under the name metagenome. RNAcentral describes it as "bacterial LSU rRNA". It matches the Rfam family "Bacterial large subunit ribosomal RNA", at positions 1564 to 2810 of the family's 2925-position model. The record is from RNAcentral.